CCUCCAGGUGCCCCCCUGCGCCCCCCGGCCGAGCGCGGCCUCCAGACCUUGCUGGAUUUCCUCUCCUCCCUGUGUCUUCCAGAGCUGGGGGCCCUGGAUCGUCUGCCCCUCCCCAAUGCCGCUGGGCAGCCCUAGCCCCCCGGUCCCCGCCAAUCUGCCUAUGCCAGGAGCCCCCCCUCACGGUGACAGGCGCACACCCCAGAGCAGUGCCCCCUGCCCUGGUGUGGACAUGCUCAGCCCUCCCCCAUCUGCCCCCCCACCUCGGACACCCCCCCCAUCUCGUGGCCUUCCACGCAGACCUGCCCCCUGUCCUGUUCUGCCGCUGCCAGCCCCCUAGUGUGAUGCCCCCCUGGCCAAGCAAGGGGGAGUCGCCCCCGGGUACCCCAUUCCACUUCCUGCCCUAGUGUGAUUCUGGCAGGGGAGUGGCGGUUAGUGGUUAGAGCGGGGGUGGGGCUGGAAGCCUGGACUCCUGGGUUCUCUCCCCGGCUCUGCGACUGCUUCCGCAUGUGUCUUUGAGGGUACGUCCCUUCUCCGUCACUCAUUGCCUCAGUUUCCCCUCCCAUGGCCCCCCAGAACGCCCUAGUCAUCAUGCGGCAUGGGGGACAGUGACGGGGCUGUGGACUCCCGGGAGACUCCCCCUCUGCAGUACAGGGCACUUGACACAGCUGCAGCCAGCGCCUCCCCGCGACGCAUCCCGGAGCUGGAUGUCAACCCGACGCUCCCUGAGCACGGCGGCUGGGACCGCCGGCGGCCCGCGACGGAGGGCACAGAUGGGGCCGGGGACCCACGAGUCCUGCGGGGAUCCUGGGGGAACAGACCCUCCCCAGACUCAGCCCCCCACCUCAGGGGGGCGAGGUCGCCCUAAGCAACCAGCCAAUAAAUAUAUUUCACUGCUCGA
Chrysemys picta bellii (western painted turtle) is the source of this 898-nucleotide non-coding RNA. Lineage: Eukaryota; Metazoa; Chordata; Testudines; Emydidae. The record is from RefSeq and is a predicted model, not a curated record.